CCUACGGGGGGCUGCAGUCGAGAAUCUUCCGCAAUGGACGAAAGUCUGACGGAGCGACGCCGCGUGAUGGAUGAAGUUCUUCGGAACGUAAACAUCUUUUAUCGGGGAAGAACUUAAGUGACGGUACCCGAGGAAUAAGGGGCUGCAAAACUCGUGCCAGCAGCAGCGGUAAAACGAGUGCCCCAAGCGUUAUCCGGAAUUACUGGGCAUAAAGGGUGCGUAGGUGGUCUGAUUAGUCGUCUGUUAAAACUCCCGGCCUAACCGGGAAGGUGCAGACGAGACGGUCAGACUAGAGAGAGUGAGAGGUUAGCAGAACUCAUGGUGUAGGGGUGAAAUCCGUUGAUAUCAUGGGGAAUACCGAAGGCGAAGGCAGCUAACUGGCGCUUAUUCUGACACUCUAGCACGAAAGCGUGGGUAGCGAACGGGCUUAGAUACCCUGGUAGUC
This 445-nucleotide ribosomal RNA is filed under the name uncultured bacterium. RNAcentral's name for it is "bacterial SSU rRNA". It matches the Rfam family "Bacterial small subunit ribosomal RNA", at positions 338 to 795 of the family's 1533-position model. The record is from RNAcentral.